GGCAACGAUAGCGCGGUGGUCCCACCUGACCCCAUGCCGAACUCAGAAGUGAAACGCCGUAGCGCCGAUGGUAGUGUGGGGUCUCCCCAUGUGAGAGUAGGGCAUUGCCAGGC
This 113-nucleotide ribosomal RNA is filed under the name Klebsiella michiganensis. The record is from RNAcentral. Lineage: Bacteria; Pseudomonadati; Pseudomonadota; Gammaproteobacteria; Enterobacterales; Enterobacteriaceae.